Molecule: long non-coding RNA, 1483 nt
Filed under: Carassius auratus (goldfish)
Lineage: Eukaryota; Metazoa; Chordata; Actinopteri; Cypriniformes; Cyprinidae
Description: lncRNA (ENSCARG00000053186.1)
Source: RNAcentral
AUAACAUCCUGGAGGUGACGCUACAGAGGAGUCUCAGUAGUCUGGGGUUCAGUUUCAUCAUAUCUGAGCUGGGUCCAGAUGAGGGCAGCAUGGUGCAUAUUAAGAGCCUUUCUUCUGGUCAGCCUGCAGGGGAUUGUGGGCUACUGAAGGAGGGAGACAUAAUCCUGGCUGUCAAUGGAGAAUCUGUCAGAGGCCUUUCCUAUGAGGUAAAGGAUAUAUUGUUUAUAUUUAGCAUUUCAAGAUCUGAUGCAUCAAAGCAGAGUGAGAGAAAAAUAACUUAAUGAAGUACUAGAUUCACUAUUUGUAUAUUUGUAUACAUAUAUUUAUUUGUACAUUAACAAUUCUGUUAAUAUAAUAUAAUUACAGACUUGUUAAUAUAUUGGUAUUUUGUAUAUUUUUAAAAGUCAUAUUUUACAAAUUACUGUUUUUACUUUAUUUUUGGUCAAAUAAAUCAAAUCAAAAUCAUUGAAAAUGUUGACUUUUUAAUAGUAAUGUAUGUCUUUCUAUUACCACAGGAAGUUCUGCAUCUCCUCCAAAAAUCUCCGUCUGAGAUCAGGCUAUCAAUCUGCAGAACUUCACAGGAUAAACAUACAGAUACUGAGACCUCUUUGGUAACAUCCUUUUCCUACAUAGUUGCAAACAACUCUAAAAUUGACAUGUUAUUUUUCAAACUCACAUCCUUUUUUGACAGGGUCAUGACACACUUCAAACCCGUGCACUGAGAUCUAGGUCUCUAGACCUGCAGAUAAGGACUGUUGCCCCAGACUUUAUUGAACUCCUCAAGAAGCGGGUGAUAGAGGUGGGUCUAAAGAAAGAAACUUCCCCAGAGAAAACCCAGGAGAUUCCACUGGCCCAACAGAAACCAGAUACUGAGCUGCUGGAUACGAAUAUAUCAGCUCCUCCACCCCUACCUCCACGUCCAUCCUCAGCUGAAGCUGGAGAACCUAAACCUCAUGCCAGAAUGGGGGAGGGGCUUGAGAGCAAAGCCCCACCCCCAACACCAAGCACUGUUAAAGUGACAACAGCCAACCUUGCACCAACUCCAGCCGCCCCUGAAACAGCAAUUGCAACCCAUCAGCAAGAGUCAAAAAAUUAUACCGUCUCAGCUUGUACCAGUCACACAACUGAAGGUGUGGAAGAGAGCAUGACAAGUUUCACAGCUAAUGGACUGACCAUCAUAGCUGAUGAGGAAUACUUGACCAUCACCACCACAGCACCCUCGCCUCUAAGCUGCAGCAUUGCUGUCUCCAAAGAACCUCCACCACCACCACCGGCCCUUUCCCCAUCACUGUUAAGCACACCUCCAUCCUACCAGCAAGCAACUCAAGCGUCAUCACCAGUGAAACCUCCUGACCAGUUUACCCUCCCCUCAGCCAGAAACAACAACGGCUGGGAUGAUGAUGAUGAAGAGGAGGAUGACGAAGAUCCCCAAAGGGUAAAGUCUGAUUGCAUUUGCCUACAGAUGUACAAGCCAUUAGAUUAG